CGGCGGUGUAGUGCUACGCGGCCAGUAUGGGUCGUCCUCGCCCCAGACGAGACGGUCGGCCUCACCUGAGACACGACUGGUAAGGACCACCAGUCCCAUCCUGUGGUAGGUGGGAGUGACGAGCGUGACAGCGUUCCUCCACAGAGUGGCGGGUCUCCUGUGGGUGAGGAGGCUUCGGGUCGGUGGAGGGAGUGACUUAUGGAGUCGAGGCUGGGACGUUCAGGGUAACGCUGAGGAAGAAUUUGAGACCAACUUUCAGAGUGUGUGUGAAUUGGUAAUGAUGGUAAUGAGAGGUGUACCGUAAGUGUCCAGUUAACAUGGGUACUUUGGGUUAUGUGUUUAGUGUGCUCUGUAUUCUAGUUUGGGGCAUUUUGGUUUUCAUUUCCAUUUUCCUUAAGUGAAUACAAGAUAGAACUAAUGUCCUCAAACUGGGUAAUGCUCCUGUACUGUGUGAUGGGUCUGUUCCCUUUAUCGUGUACAUUGUUUAAAAUUCCAUUUAAUUUUUUGUCUCCCCAGGUAUUGUCUCUGUGUAAAACAAUGUCACUGAUUUUGUCUGUCAGUGUUAGUGCUGCUUGUUGUAUUUAGGUUAAAUGUUCCCGUUCUAUUGUAAUCUAUGUCCUAAAAUGGUAGAGAUUAAAUUUAUAUAUUAAAAAUACAAAUGUGUUGCAUAGUUUUUUUUCUUUUGUUUGAAGCUCAGCCGUGAGUAUUGUAAUUACGUAUACUGUAUCAUAAGUACUUUGUGUUGAGUUUCAUGUUAAUGUAUUAUGGUUUGUUCUUACAUUGACUUGUUUCUUCAGGUUUUACUUGUUUUUAUACUUUUGUAAUACAUUUAAUGUCCUUUAUUAUUUUGCGGGCACUGGCGUGUCUAGUACCUGUAGUGUAUUGUUUGCGUACAUGUGUGUUGUUUGCGCUUCUUGCUCCUCAGAGUUUGCCGUAGAGUCAUCUAUAUGUAAGGAUUGAAUGUUUCGCUUAAUUUAUUUUAAUUGUACAUGUCUUGUGCUUCUAUCAUUAAACAAAUUAAAAC
Molecule: long non-coding RNA, 1024 nt
Organism: Procambarus clarkii (red swamp crayfish)
Lineage: Eukaryota; Metazoa; Arthropoda; Malacostraca; Decapoda; Cambaridae
Source: RefSeq, a predicted model, not a curated record